UUAGGACGAAGUGCGAACGCUU
This 22-nucleotide microRNA is filed under the name Human alphaherpesvirus 2. RNAcentral describes it as "hsv2-miR-H12". Its record names the gene hsv2-miR-H12. Lineage: Duplodnaviria; Heunggongvirae; Peploviricota; Herviviricetes; Herpesvirales; Orthoherpesviridae. The record is from miRBase by way of RNAcentral.